Molecule: long non-coding RNA, 1726 nt
Organism: Musa acuminata AAA Group (dessert banana)
Lineage: Eukaryota; Viridiplantae; Streptophyta; Magnoliopsida; Zingiberales; Musaceae
Exons: 3
Source: RefSeq, a predicted model, not a curated record
UCGAGUGCUUCUUGCCUUACACUGCCGGGCCCCUUUCAUCCCUCCUCCUCCGUCUCCGAAUCCGCGUCUAGCCCUAAUCUUGGAUGAGAAGCCUUCCGCCGAUCUGAAGCACUUUCAUCUUGAUUUCUUGAUUGGGUUUCACUGAGAUAUGGGUCCUGCAAGUACCCUAUCUUGCCUUGUGAGGUUCCUUAUGAGGAUUUUUCGUUCUGGAAGAGUGAGGAGGACAUGAUACAUGCGCAAUUACAUGGGACAAAAUGUGCGUUCUGCUUGUUACCGCUCUUACCUUAUUGUUUUGGAAUUGAUUGUGUUUGGACAUUUUCAUACAGAUGAGGACCCUAGCCCUGUGGACAAGCAAACUGAACUGGAUCAUAUUAGUUAAACCUGGUUUGUGGCGUUCAACGUCACCUGUGAAUUAUCACUUCAUCACCAUGAAUUUGUAUCGGGGCUUUGUUUCGGUCCAAUUAUUGACGUCCAUGUGAUAGCCCUUUCCCAGUGGAUAAGCAUUAAAACUUGGCUUACAUUGGUUGAAGCUGUGCCUCUGGCGAGUUCUGAGCAUGUAUUUUCAUCUACUGAAAGACAAAGCUCCUGGAUAUCUGAAGAAGAAUCUGGCAUGGCAAAUGUUGCCUCAGCAUCACCUGCAGAGUCACAAGCUGUUUGUUCUGUCAAAUUCUCCGGUUGAUUCUUAUGUUGCUUAAAAUAGGGUGACAUGGCCUAUCAUUUGUGCUACACGAAAUCAGUCAGUGUACCCUUUGAAUUAGCUAAAGACGAGAUCUGGCUCAUCUGCAAAUGGACGAUAGAAAGAUCUUCGUUGCGUCAGUUACGAUUAGUAAGAAUGAUGGUGUUGUGAAAAAUAUGGAUGAAUCCUCAGAAAAUAUUUGAGUAAUGGAUUGACAUUAGCAUGUGGUGGUACCUCAGAUAGUUUAUGAUGUAGUUGUUCUUGGAUUCUUGUGCGCACAUCUCACUUCUGGUACAUACUCUUUUCAGAUGGUUUAGGAUGCACUUGUUCUGUGAUCAAGAUGAUCGGUUGGCUUUGAUUGCCUGGUUGGCAGCGGCAUCCUGUGCUGCCGCUUGUCUGGAUGUAGAAGACCCUUGGGAUGGCCAACGAUGAUGAUUGGCAAGUGAGGCAUGUUCAUUACUAGUUCCUACCACUCUCACCUCUCUUUUCUUUGCUGUUCAUUACGCUUGCUAGUCGCCAUGCCAUUUUAUUCAAGUCAAUGUUCAAAGGCAUAUCUUUAGCUUACUAUUCUCAGAUGAACCUUCUAAUAAAUGGUGCAGAUUCAUGUUGAACAGGUCAGUUUCGGAAGACAUCCAGUCAGCUAAUGGUAUUUCUUUCAUUUUCUGCAUUAAAAGUUAUGCAUCUCGAAGCAGGUAGAUGUCAGAGUCGAGCUUCCUGAGGAGGGAGGUGGGGGCAGUAUGGAGUCAUGGGUGAGUCGAGACUGUGCACUGCUGCCUCCACCAGUGCUAAGUUCUCGUAAUAAAUAUGCAGAGAAUGGAAUAGCUUUGUAAAAUCUUGAGAUAUCUCGUCUUUACAAACAAUGGAAGCGCUCUCGAUACAUGCAUCCUAUAUUGUGGAAAGCCACAAAGUAUCGUGACACUCAAAAAGAAAGGAAACCUUCUCGGAUCUUCUUCAAAUUGGUUCUCUCAAUUAUCUGUCUUUGUAAAUUGAUUUCAUGGAACUUAGGGGGGCUCUCAUGUUCUUAAGAGGUUAUCUACAUCAUUUUGACAA